Piliocolobus tephrosceles (Ugandan red Colobus) is the source of this 519-nucleotide long non-coding RNA. RefSeq lists it as uncharacterized. The transcript has 5 exons. Lineage: Eukaryota; Metazoa; Chordata; Mammalia; Primates; Cercopithecidae. The record is from RefSeq and is a predicted model, not a curated record.
UCUCCAAGCCUCUCCACAAGUUAGUGCCAGGGCUUGGGAGAAACAAAGUGUUCUCCCUCAGCCUGGGCUGCUCAGAUCCUCAUUGGAAAGGAUCUACAGUGGCUACAAUAACCAAGUGCUACAAAAAUGCUGUGACAAGGAAUCUGAACAACAGAGAUUUGAGGGAAACAAAGCACUUUCGACGAAGGUUCUGCUGCUUGUCUUCAGCUCAGUACCAAUUAGAGCUUCACUGGAGGUGAAAAGGACAGACGGGGUUGCUGAGUGGCUGGUUGGAGAGUCCCUGAGAGAUUACCCAAGAAACUCAGUUGCAACACAUGGUGGAGCAGCCUCUCAGGAGAUUUUUAGGAAUGCAAGAUGAAAAGAGCUAAAUAAAACUAUAGGAAAUGGAGACUGUUACCAGCAUCUAGCUUAGGAUGGAGAGCCAAGCAUGGCUCUCAGGUGCAACUCACAUGGAGAUGUGGCUCUCAGGUACAAGGUACCACUCAGUUUCAGAUGUUGCAAGAAAAGAAGCAAAAAAAA